This 482-nucleotide long non-coding RNA is filed under the name Homo sapiens (human). RNAcentral's name for it is "non-protein coding lnc-TGFBRAP1-20:4". Lineage: Eukaryota; Metazoa; Chordata; Mammalia; Primates; Hominidae. The record is from RNAcentral.
UGCUCAAUUCAUUUUCUACACUUUCAGUCAAUGUGCUUAAAGAGCUUUACACAUGGUCUAGCUGGAAGGAUAGUAUAGAAAAGGUUGAAAUCUUGUAACCCCAUUUAAAAAUGCAUGAGAGGGGACAGAUUUGGGUUUCUGCUGCCUGUUCACCAUGGACACCCAAGAGGCAGAAACAGGGAAAGAAGCCUGUAGCCUUUCUGUGACUCAUUGUAAUGCAGAAAAGCCUGGUGACAGGGAGUUGUUUUUAUUUUUAUACUAUUACUAGACUGAAAAGCAUUAAUAUUGUCAUACAGAUGGUCACCUAUGUUGGAAGCUUAUGAAAGAACUCUAAAUUGCGAAAAGAUUAUUCUAAAUUCAGGAAAGCAUCAACUCCUCCUGUCUACUGUUGAUGGGCAUUUAGGUUGAUUCCAUGUCUUUGCUAUUGUAAAUAGUGCUGCAAUGAAAAUACACAUGCAUGUGUCUUUAUUGUAAAAUGAUUU